UCUCCGUAGGUGAACCUGCGGAGGGAUCAUUACCAGAGAUGGUGGGCUCCGGUCCCCGUCCCCAACCCUUUGUCUACCAAAACCUUUUGCCUCGGGGGCAGAGCGGCCGCCGCCGCCCCCGGAGGACCACCUAACUCUGUCUCUUUACGUCGGAGUAUUUGAUUGAAUAAGUAAAAACUUUCAACAACGGAUCUCUUGGUUCUGGCAUCGAUGAAGAACGCAGC
This 224-nucleotide unclassified non-coding RNA is filed under the name uncultured fungus. Its description in RNAcentral is "sequence contains ITS1, 5.8S rRNA gene". The stretch from base 176 to 224 matches the Rfam family "5.8S ribosomal RNA", at positions 1 to 49 of the family's 154-position model. Lineage: Eukaryota; Fungi. The record is from RNAcentral.